Long non-coding RNA from Archocentrus centrarchus (flier cichlid), 147 nucleotides. RefSeq lists it as uncharacterized. The transcript is spliced from 3 exons. The record is from RefSeq and is a predicted model, not a curated record. NCBI's taxonomy places the organism in Eukaryota, Metazoa, Chordata, Actinopteri, Cichliformes, Cichlidae.
GCCACUUCAUAUGCAUCUCAUGACAACAGUCAGCAGAGCUGAUCCGAUACAGAGCAGCCCGGCGUCCGUCCGUCCGGCAUCAUUCAGCUUUUUGCUUCUGUCAGCGCCCACUACGUUCCUACUGUGUGCAACGGGAGAGAAAUUGUA